AACGAACGACUGGCGGCGUGCUUAACACAUGCAAGUCGAACGCGAAAGGGACUUCGGUCCUGAGUAAAGUGGCGGCACGGGUGAGUAACGCGUAGAUAACCUGUCUUCAUGUCUGGAAUAAUACGCCGAAAGGGGUACUAAUACCGGAUAUUCUUGCUUUUCAUAAGUUAUGCAAGCAAAGGUGGCCUCUGCAUAUGCUACUGCAUGAAGAGGGGUCUGCGUACCAUUAGCUAGUAGGUGGGGUAAUGGCCUACCUAGGCGACGAUGGUUAGCGGGUCUGAGAGGAUGAUCCGCCACACUGGCACUGGAACACGGGCCAGACUCCUACGGGAGGCAGCAGUGAGGAAUAUUGCGCAAUGGGGGAAACCCUGACGCAGCGACGCCGCGUGAGUGAGGAAAGGCCUUCGGGUCGUAAAGCUCUGUCAAGAGGAAAGAAGUGUACAAUGGCUAAUACCUGUUGUAUUUGACGGUACCUCUAAAGGAAGCACCGGCUAACUCCGUGCCAGCAGCUGC
This 513-nucleotide ribosomal RNA is filed under the name uncultured bacterium. RNAcentral describes it as "bacterial SSU rRNA". It matches the Rfam family "Bacterial small subunit ribosomal RNA", at positions 36 to 518 of the family's 1533-position model. The record is from RNAcentral.